CUACGGGUGGCAGCAGUGGGAAUAUUGCACAAUGGAGGAAACUCUGAUGCAGCAACGCCGCGUGGAGGAUGACACUUUUCGGAGCGUAAACUCCUUUUAUAUAGGAAGAUAAUGACGGUACUAUAUGAAUAAGCACCGGCUAACUCCGUGCCAGCAGCCGCGGUAAUACGGAGGGUGCAAGCGUUACUCGGAAUCACUGGGCGUAAAGAGCGUGUAGGCGGGUUAAUAAGUCAGAAGUGAAAUCCUAUGGCUCAACCAUAGAACUGCUUUUGAAACUGUUAACCUAGAGUGUGGGAGAGGUAGAUGGAAUUUCUGGUGUAGGGGUAAAAUCCGUAGAGAUCAGAAGGAAUACCGAUUGCGAAGGCGAUCUACUGGAACAUAACUGACGCUGAGACGCGAAAGCGUGGGGAGCAAACGGGAUUAGAUACCCCCGUAGUC
This 438-nucleotide ribosomal RNA is filed under the name uncultured bacterium. RNAcentral describes it as "partial 16S ribosomal RNA". It matches the Rfam family "Bacterial small subunit ribosomal RNA", at positions 339 to 795 of the family's 1533-position model. The record is from RNAcentral.